GGGAGGACUUGGGUGGGCUGAGCCUUUUGCGAAGACUGGGCAGAUGCUGGAGAAUGGAGCUUGCUCCUUAGCAGACCUGUGAGAGCGGCUCAGGGAAGUCCUUCCGACCGUAGGAAAUGAGGGCGACCGGAAACCUGGAUCUUCAGGAACAAACCAAGGGCGCAAGCAAAGGGUGCACAUGCGGGUAGGCGCAAGCACUACGGCCCCUGCAGCCCUGCAGCCAGCGAGCUCGACUGUCCUUUGAGGUCCCACCUGUCCCGCACGCCUUCAGCGUCCUCCCCACUGGAGCCUCCCCUUCGCCGCUGACAGGGGUUCUUGAGGGGCGAUGAGGGCCAGGGACCGAGAAAACGUUUUGUUUUGCUUUACUUCUAGAAAAUCCUAUUUAAAUACUAAAAGACUUGGACGCCUUUGGCUCAGGUCGCGACCCUGGGGUCCCGGGAUCGAGUCCCGCAUCAGGUCCCUGCAGGGAGCCUGUUCUCUUCCUCUGCCUGGGUCUCUGCCUCUUGCUCUCUGUGUCUCUCAGGAAUAAGUAAAUAAAAUUUUUAAAAUAUGAAAUAAAUAGCAAGAGAGAAAGCUUAGAACGUGUCACGAGGAGGGCAGCGUAGCUGACUGCCCAAGUGUUCUUUUCCUCCUCUCCCCUCCUUCAGGCCAAAGAGCAGCAGGAGGCCUGAGGAGCAGAGGCCGGGCUGCCCCGUGGCGGGAAGGCAUCUGGGCCGGAGGGGCCCGGGGGACGAGCUCCUGAUGCCAAGGGAACCGGGUGCCUCGUGCGACCGGGACACUGCGGGGAGCGGGGGUACUGUUGGUGGCCACGUAGACGGGACGGGCAGGAACGGCCUCGUCCCUCCAAAUGGGCUGAACAGCCGGGGUUCACCUGCCGCACCCGGGCCCUGCGGUGCCCUCAGCGCUGCUCCCUCCCAGGGGCUCCCCGAGCUGGGGUCGGGCCGGGGAGGCAGAGGCCCUGCUGGGGACCCGCGGCGCACACCCCACGCUCCUGGCCCGGGGCAGGCUGACGGGUCGGGCUGUGCCAAGGGGGGCGAGGAGGCGCGGGAGGGCCCGAGCUGGCGCCCAGAGGCCACGAGGCGCCUUGAGUGGGCCGCGCUGUGGCUCCGCUGGCCCGGGGGGAGACCUGGCGAGGCGGCCACCGGGGAGGGCGGACGUCUGGGCUCCUGCCGUGGCUGUCAACGCUCCGAAUGGCUCUGGAUCCUCGGCCGGAGACGCCCAACCCUUUCCCUGGUCUUCCCACCAUAAAAUAUUUCUCUAAUUGUGACCUGUGGGGAAAGUCUUAGCACACAACGUGGCCUUAAAGAACAAAACACGUUACAAAAACCCCAGGCUUCCAAAUAGCCUUUUCCAUUAUUACGAUGGAAUGGGAAGAAAGGAGAAAAUAGAAGACUCCUUCAAAAUAGAAGACUCCGUCAAAAUAAAAUGUAGCUGACUUUGGCCAAAGCAGUUAUUCCCGGAAUGUCUAAUUAUUAAACCAGAGGCUAUUAUCGAAAAGUCAAGUACUUCAUUCUCUUCAUUCCGACAAGAAGCCCUCAGGAAGCUCAUUUCAGCAACAGAAGAAAGACUCCUUCUGAGGACUGUGCAAAAUUCAGUUUUAUUUGAAAGAAAAUCCUGCCAUCUCCUUGGCAAGAGCUGUAUAGCACACACAGUGUAUAAAACAGGAUGACUCAAAGGGCCCCAAUUUCCUCCUGGGGCCUCCAGGCCUCCUCCUAGGUCUGGGCCUGCUCCAACUCAACUUUAUAGGGCCUGCCGGCAACCGGGCUCACGUUCCUCUGACUCCAACAACCCUAGAUUCUCCAAUGUUGCCAUUUCUAUGAUUAUUAUUUGUAGUUAACAUUGAUUGAGCCCUGACCAUGUGAUGUGUGUGAUGCUAAGCACCUGACAUGCAUUUUCUCAUUUAAAUACCACAACAACUUUAUAAUCUCCACUUCGUAAAUGAAGAAAUGGAGGCUUGAAAAGGGAGAGUAACUUGCUUGAAAGAAAGUCUCCGUUUUGUGCCUCCUGGUGAAUCCGAGUGAAGCCCUUAGGCUUCGGUCCCUUGAGGAAGAGAAGGGAAGGAAAGAAGCCAACCUUUUUAGCAUCUACUAAGUGUCCAAUGCCAUGCUGGGCACUUUGUUUCUCAUCUCUCUUCCUCACAAUAAGCCUGGGUUAUACAAACAACCCAACUUCCUAGGAGUUCUCGGAGAGAGAGCUUCAGUCACCAGGCCAUAGCCAGGAGAUCGCUGAGUGAUUAUUGCACAGAUCACCCGUCCUAAAGAUCCCUUUCUGCAUACACCGUAAGUGUAUAGUUGACUUAAAUGCUGGCUCUGGGAUGCGGGCGGUAGGAUCUUGGGCAAGUCCCAGAGCCCUGAUAAUCCCACUAAGUAAACAAAGUCGAUGGAAGAUAACACGUAGGAAUCCUUACUACAUUCCACAUUUGCACACACACAACUCUCUCUCGUUUCUGCAGCAUCUGGCUGGUACCUCUGUCAGAGCCCUCCCCACUCGGCCAUGAUCCUUAGUGGCUUCUGUGGAGAGGUUGGGGGUGACAAGACUAUAUCGCAAGCCCCAGGAGACUACGUAGUCUAUAAAACCCAUAUCUUGGGGUGGACUUGGCACUAACCUAUUGAGGAAAUGUUGACUGUGGAGGAUCUCCUGCUGUUUUCAAUCAUAGGGACUAGAUAUGUCAUUGCAAAGUCCUGAAUCCCUUAAAGGGGCAUUUGAUCUGCUGGCCAUCUUUGGGGGACUUUAGUCUCUGUUAUUCAGAAACCCUGGCCACAAAUAGACGCCCCUCUUUAAAAUCCAAGCUGCCAAAACAAAGACCCCACUCAAAGAUCCAUUACAAUUUUCCUUUGAAAAGCUACCUCCUCCCGCAAACAUCGAGUAGAUUUUCAUUUUGGACAUCUCAACUUCAUCAAAGAUUUGGGAAAAUACAUAAAGGAAGGCACACUCAUACCCACCCCUAUGGCAUUCACCAUAGUUAGAGUUAGGUGGCCCCGGAGCGAAAGAUUUGCCUUCGUAACCCUCAAGCCAAGUAAACAAGGCCUAUCACGUAUCACGCUCAUGUGACCCACACAGACGAGAAACUCGCUGCACUGAGCCGUGAUCAACAGCGCAGGUCCGUCAGGUGGGGCAUUACAGAGGGCCAGUGUGUACAAUGACGCCCGAGUCAGUGUCACUGUGUAGAUCUAGUAUUUGGAGGAGAAAAUUUAGACCUUCGUUGUUCUUGAGCUGGGCAUGUUAGCAAUCACAGAAUGUAAGAACGGAAGUUCUCAAAGGAUGAAAAACAGUAUAACACAGUUCACUCACAAGACAUACAGUCUCACACUGGCUCUCAAAGUGUGGUUCUCUGACCGGCGGCAUCAACAUCACCUGGAGACUUGUUGGAAAUUUAAAUUCUCAGGCCUCAGAACUGGCCUGUCAGCAUCCUUCCGGCAGCCCAGUCUCAUGUCUUCCUGCAAGAGGAACACCAUGCUAGCCAACAGAAGCUAUCUGUUCACCAGGAUGCACUUCUGGAAGCAGGGCCCUGCCACAAAGCCCUUAAACAACCCUGUUGUCAUGAGUCUAGAAGCUUCUGAACAUCUAGUCAACUCCGGGAACAGGGAGGCGGAGGUCCAGGGAGAGUCGGAGAGCAUCCUGAAGGGGAGAGAGGGGGGCCAGGACCUAUGCCAGACCUGGGCCAGGCUCAGAGCAGCCUCCGCAGAUAGCACUACAGGCCCUGAGUGGAACCGAUCUCACUAGAGAGUCACUUAGACAAUUUUGAAGAAGGUAUUUCAAAGCACAGAAGCCCUUGAGACUCGGGGGGCAGAGGAGAGAGGAGCAGCAGAUGGCCCACUCACCCAGCUCUUAGGACAAUAAUGCGAUUGGCUCUGUCUCCACAGAAGGCCUCCACGUACUGAUUAGAACCAGCGUCUACUGCUCCUCGGCUGGUCUUCGCAGCCUCCACAGAGCACAACGUAGAACUUCUCUUGUUAGAAGAGCUCGGUAAAGCUUAUCCCUUGCUCCACACGUAAGUCUUGCUGUUGUUUUUAACUAAAGGAAGGAGCAUGCUAUUUGUGGUCUAAACUAACCACCUCCACUCACUGUGGGAAGCUUGUCUGAGUCACAAGGCAAUCACAGCGAGUCACUAGCACACCUGAGACCACAGGAUGACUAAUCAGGUCUUUCUGACUCCAAACACCUGCUCCUUCCGCCACAGCGUGUGGCUUUGGGACCAUCAGAAGUUUCAGAGAACUGAAC
Molecule: long non-coding RNA, 4221 nt
Filed under: Canis lupus familiaris (dog)
Lineage: Eukaryota; Metazoa; Chordata; Mammalia; Carnivora; Canidae
Description: lncRNA (ENSCAFG00845022367.1)
Source: RNAcentral